This 501-nucleotide ribosomal RNA is filed under the name uncultured bacterium. RNAcentral describes it as "bacterial SSU rRNA". It matches the Rfam family "Bacterial small subunit ribosomal RNA", at positions 28 to 521 of the family's 1533-position model. The record is from RNAcentral.
GACGAACGCUGGCGGCGUGGAUUAGGCAUGCAAGUCGAACGGUAUCAUCCUUUCGGGGGUGAGAGAGUGGCGAACUGGUGAGUAACACGUAGGUUAAUCUACCCUCAAGACGGGGACAACCCAGGGAAACUUGGGCUAAUACCGGAUGUGAGCAACUUUUAGUUGUUUGAAAGGUGGCGUAAGCUGUCGCUUGGGGAUGAGCCUGCGUCCUAUUAGUUAGUUGGUGAGGUAACGGCUCACCUAGGCAAUGAUAGGUAGGCGGCCUUAACGGGUGGUCGCCCACACUGGGAUUGAGAUACGGCCCAGACUCCUACGGGAGGCAGCAGUCGAGAAUAGUCUACAAUGGCCGAAAGGCUGAUAGUGCGACGCCGCGUGAACGAAGAAGCCCUUCGGGGUGUAAAGUUCUUUUAUAUGUGAGCAGUGCUUUCUAUGUGAACAGCAUGGGGAAGAGAUAUUAGCAUAUGAAUAAGCAACGGCUAACUCCGUGCCAGCAGCCGCGGU